Mastomys coucha (southern multimammate mouse) is the source of this 896-nucleotide long non-coding RNA. RefSeq lists it as uncharacterized. The transcript has 6 exons. The record is from RefSeq and is a predicted model, not a curated record. Lineage: Eukaryota; Metazoa; Chordata; Mammalia; Rodentia; Muridae.
GGCUGUAUUGCCUCCACACUCAGUCUGUGUAGACUGGUGUCCACUGAGCUCUCUGCACCAGAACAAUUGCUGCAAUUGGAAUCCUGCAAGCCACUCAUUGGGAACCAGCUCUGUGUUUGGCUUCUCUUCCAUCUUUUCAAGGCAGACCGUAUCAGGAAAGCAUUGUGAGACCUGAGAGGUUGUGUGUUAGGAUGUGAGCUCUCAGCUACUGGCCCAGCACCAUGCGUGUCUUAUGCUGCCAUGCUCCCCACUAUGAUAGUCAUGGACUCUAACCCUCUGAAAUGUCUGUGGACUCCCAUCCUCUCUGCCCGCCUCACUCCUGCAAGACAGAGUUGGCCUUUAGGGAGUCUGGGAAGGGCCGGAUGAGACAACAGGAUUCUUGGCUAAGGAGCAUGAGUCAGCAAAUGUGUGAAUGCUCACUUGGAUGCUUGUCCUACCAUUGAGGUCUGUGAAGAGAAGCCUGGGGCCCAGCAGCAGAGCGCCACACCUUCCUACCGCCCUAGCACCAAACAGCUCUCUAGGAGCUUCUAGAUCUGAGGAGAACAUGAAGGAUUCAAGACUCUGGAGCCAGGAAGUUCAAUGCUUGGGUCUUCUGGAAACUGCUGGAAGUGUACAUGGCAAGAGAGUUCUCCCUGCAUAGCUCACAGCUCUGCACUGACCUCAGUGCUGUCAGGAGUGUGCCGUGGGAUUCCAUCUUUCUCACCUGCUUUCUGUGUUCUGGGCUGUUGCAGGCAAAGAUUGAUGCUAUCACUAUGAGGCAGUGGAAGGAAUUGCUUUGAGAUUUCUGGUCAAUGAACGAAAAGGCUUACUUGCCCUCUAUAUGUAAAAGCCCAUGUCAUCCAAGACAACUUUCAAGCUAAUGACUAGCCAAGAGAAUUAAAAGCUUACCCCCAAAA